UACGUAGGUUGCGAGCGUUGUCCGGAUUUACUGGGCGUAAAGCGCACGCAGGCGGCCUCGCAAGUCCAAGGUGAAAGCUCCCGGCCCAACCGGGAGAGGCCCUUGGAAACUGCGGGGCUUGAAGGCGGGAGAGGCAGAUGGAAUUUCCGGUGUAGCGGUAAAAUGCGUAGAUACCGGAAGGAACACCGGUGGCGAAAGCGAUCUGCUGGCCCGCCCUUGACGCUCAGGUGCGAAAGCUAGGGGAGCGACCGGG
RNAcentral lists this unclassified non-coding RNA (253 nucleotides) under uncultured Chloroflexota bacterium. RNAcentral's name for it is "uncultured Chloroflexi bacterium contains 16S-23S intergenic spacer region". It matches the Rfam family "Bacterial small subunit ribosomal RNA", at positions 524 to 776 of the family's 1533-position model. The record is from RNAcentral. Lineage: Bacteria; Bacillati; Chloroflexota.